CUGGGCAAUGGCGGGCGCCCCUGCCCCAGCCUCGCUGCCGCCUUGCAGUUUGAUCUCAGACCGCUGUGCUAGCAAUCAGCGAGACUCCGUGGGGGUAGGACCCUCCAAGCCAGGCACUGGGGAAGGGCCACAUGACCACACAGUGAAAAGGUGGCUGCCUACAAGCUGAGAGAUGAGGCCUCGGAAUGAAACCUGCCUGGCUAGUGUUUUGAUCUUGGAUUUUCCUGCCUCCAGAACAGAAAAUAAAUUUCUGUUGUUUAAGUCCUGGUCUACGGAAUUUUGCUAUGGUGUAUCCGCACAGCACUCAUCAGAGGCACAAGCUUGAAUUUGAGAUACUGCAUGGGUCAUACUCACUAGGACCCCUGCUAUGGUGACUUCUGAAAACUCAGUGACUACAGCAAUCAAGACAGUGCGGUAUUGGUAAAACAACAGACAAAUAGAUUGGUCAAACAAAACAGAGAGCUCAGAAAUUGACCCACACAAAUAUGGUCAACUGGUCUUUGACAAAUAAGUAAAGGCAAUUCAAUAGUCUUUUCAACAAAUGGUUCUGAAACAAGACAUCAACAUAAAAUAAAUUUAGAAACAGAUCUUUUACCUCUUACAAAAAUGAACUCAAAAUGCAUCAUAGGCCUAAGUGUAAAAUACAAAACUAUUAAACACCUAGAAGAUAACAUAGGAAAAAAUCUAGAUGUGUUUGGGUUUGGAGAUGGUUCUUUAGAUAUGUCACCAAAUGCACUGUAUACAUGAAAGAAAAGUUGAUACAUUGGACUUCAUUAAAAUUAAAUAUUUUUGUUCUGUGAAAGACACUGUCAAGAGAAUGAGAAGUAAGCUACAGAGUGGGAGAAAUAUUUUCAAAAGAUAUAUCUGAAAGAGGACUUGUUACCCCAAAUAUAGAAGGAACUCUUAAAGCUCAGCGAUAAGAAAACAAACAACCUGAUUAAACAACCAGGGUAAAAAAUCUGAACAGACACCUAACCAAAGAAGAUAUACACAUGACAAAUAAGCAUAUGAAAAGAUAGUCUACAUUAUACCUCAUUAGGGAACUGCAAAUUAAAAUAACCACCACUCCACACCUAUUAGAAUGGAUAACAUCUAAAACACUGACAACACUAAAAGCUGAUGAGGAUGUAGAGCAACAUGAACUUUCAUUCAUUGUUGCUGGGGAUGUAAAAUGGCACAGCCACUUUGGAAGACAGUCUGGCAGUUUCUCAUAAAGCUAAACAUGGUCUUGUCAUAUGAUUCAUAAAUUGUGUUCCUUGGUAUUUACCCAAAAGAGUUAUGUCCACAGAAAAACUUGUCUCCACACAAAAACCUACAUACAUACAUUUAUAGCAGC
This 1336-nucleotide long non-coding RNA is filed under the name Homo sapiens (human). Its description in RNAcentral is "PREDICTED lncRNA (TCONS_00009401)". The record is from RNAcentral. Lineage: Eukaryota; Metazoa; Chordata; Mammalia; Primates; Hominidae.